This 758-nucleotide small RNA is filed under the name Pongo abelii (Sumatran orangutan). Its description in RNAcentral is "retained intron". The record is from RNAcentral. Lineage: Eukaryota; Metazoa; Chordata; Mammalia; Primates; Hominidae.
CGCGGCGCAGAGCUGGGGCUGCGCGGGGCCGGGCGAGCGGGACCAGGCGGGAGCCAUGGACCGCUAGGGCCCGGCCUAGCCCCGCGAUGCCGCCGGCGAGUGGCCCCAGUGUCCUCGCGCGGCUGUUGCCGCUGCUGGGGCUGCUGCUCGGCAGCGCCUCCCGGGCUCCCGGCAAGUCGCCGCCGGAGCCCCCCAGCCCGCAGGAGAUCCUGAUCAAGGUGCAGGUGUAUGUGAGCGGGGAGCUGGUGCCCCUGGCCCGGGCCUCAGUGGAUGUGUUUGGGAACCGGACUCUGCUGGCAGCUGGCACCACAGACUCAGAGGGUGUGGCCACCCUGCCCCUCAGUUAUCGCUUGGGCACCUGGGUGCUGGUCACUGCUGCCCGCCCUGGCUUCCUCACCAACUCUGUGCCCUGGCGUGUUGACAAGCUGCCCUUGUAUGCGUCUGUCAGCCUCUACCUGCUCCCUGAGCGGCCGGCCACGCUCAUCCUCUAUGAGGACCUGGUGCACAUUCUCCUAGGCUCUCCUGGUAAGGCUCCCCCUCACCCACGCCAACUCUUCUUCCUUCCCCUGACCUGGGUGUAGAGACCUCCACUGUCCUAUAUUAGCUGGGUGUCCUUGGGCAAGUCACUUCACCUCUCUGAGCCAUAAUUUGCUCAUCUGUAAGAUGUGGAAGGUUAGUGCCUACAUCAUCAAAUUGGAGUAAGAAAUCACAAAGUGAAAAAACACAGUACAGAAGGUGUUCAAUAAAUGUUUACAGUU